Molecule: ribosomal RNA, 1435 nt
Filed under: uncultured organism
Description: SSU rRNA
Rfam family: Bacterial small subunit ribosomal RNA
Source: RNAcentral
ACGCUAGCUACAGGCUUAACACAUGCAAGUCGAGGGGCAUCAGGAAGAAAGCUUGCUUUCUUUGCUGGCGACCGGCGCACGGGUGAGUAACACGUAUCCAACCUGCCCUUUACUCGGGGAUAGCCUUUCGAAAGAAAGAUUAAUACCCGAUAGCAUAAUGAUUCCGCAUGGUUUCAUUAUUAAAGGAUUCCGGUAAAGGAUGGGGAUGCGUUCCAUUAGGUUGUUGGUGAGGUAACGGCCCACCAAGCCUUCGAUGGAUAGGGGUUCUGAGAGGAAGGUCCCCCACAUUGGAACUGAGACACGGUCCAAACUCCUACGGGAGGCAGCAGUGAGGAAUAUUGGUCAAUGGGCGCUAGCCUGAACCAGCCAAGUAGCGUGAAGGAUGAAGGCUCUAUGGGUCGUAAACUUCUUUUAUAUAAGAAUAAAGUGCAGUAUGUAUACUGUUUUGUAUGUAUUAUAUGAAUAAGGAUCGGCUAACUCCGUGCCAGCAGCCGCGGUAAUACGGAGGAUCCGAGCGUUAUCCGGAUUUAUUGGGUUUAAAGGGAGCGUAGGUGGACUGGUAAGUCAGUUGUGAAAGUUUGCGGCUCAACCGUAAAAUUGCAGUUGAUACUGUCAGUCUUGAGUACAGUAGAGGUGGGCGGAAUUCGUGGUGUAGCGGUGAAAUGCUUAGAUAUCACGAAGAACUCCGAUUGCGAAGGCAGCUCACUGGACUGCAACUGACACUGAUGCUCGAAAGUGUGGGUAUCAAACAGGAUUAGAUACCCUGGUAGUCCACACAGUAAACGAUGAAUACUCGCUGUUUGCGAUAUACAGUAAGCGGCCAAGCGAAAGCAUUAAGUAUUCCACCUGGGGAGUACGCCGGCAACGGUGAAACUCAAAGGAAUUGACGGGGGCCCGCACAAGCGGAGGAACAUGUGGUUUAAUUCGAUGAUACGCGAGGAACCUUACCCGGGCUUAAAUUGCAGUGGAAUGAUGUGGAAACAUGUCAGUGAGCAAUCACCGCUGUGAAGGUGCUGCAUGGUUGUCGUCAGCUCGUGCCGUGAGGUGUCGGCUUAAGUGCCAUAACGAGCGCAACCCUUAUCUUUAGUUACUAACAGGUUAUGCUGAGGACUCUAGAGAGACUGCCGUCGUAAGAUGUGAGGAAGGUGGGGAUGACGUCAAAUCAGCACGGCCCUUACGUCCGGGGCUACACACGUGUUACAAUGGGGGGUACAGAAGGCAGCUAGCGGGUGACCGUAUGCUAAUCCCAAAAUCCUCUCUCAGUUCGGAUCGAAGUCUGCAACCCGACUUCGUGAAGCUGGAUUCGCUAGUAAUCGCGCAUCAGCCACGGCGCGGUGAAUACGUUCCCGGGCCUUGUACACACCGCCCGUCAAGCCAUGGGAGCCGGGGGUAACUGAAGUACGUAACCGCAAGGAUCGUCCUAGGGUAAAACUGG